CUGCGGCCAGGUCGAGCAGCCGGCUGACCAAUCCCAACUGCGUCCUCUGCGCUCUUCGAGCAGCGAUUGGGCACUGACUCGGGGUGAAGGCGUGGCUCUUGAUUGGCUUUGACUCCUGCCUAUGAGACUCUGAGGAUCUCGUUUCCCUAGUAACGGAUUGGCACGGAGGGCGGCCAAUCACUUCACGGGACGUCGAAAGGAGGGCGGGGAGUCCUUUGAGUGAUGUCCAGAGCAGCCAAUGAAUGCGUGGGGCCGCUCCCAUUCGUCAAGAUGUGUUUCCCCUGGGCGGAGAUCCGUUGUCCGUGCAGGAGCGGUUGCUCCACAAGGGCACUGGCUGGCUCUCAGCAUUAGUCAGCACUCCGGUGGGACAGUUGAGGGGACCUUCCUAAGGUCGCUGGAGAGGUCGCACGUGAGAGCCGCCGCGGAGCCCGAGAACACGGGUCUGCGCCGCCGGCUGCUGGUGGCAAGUGCCGGGGGCCCAGGCCGGCCGCGGGCCCCGCUCGCCGAGGUCUUCCCGGCCGUAGCUGCCGACGCGCCGCAGCCUGGGAGGUCUGCGCCCCGCUCGGGGCUCAGUGCAACAUCCUGCGCGUCACCGCCGCUGCCAUCCGGCCUCCGAUCGGCCGCGCUGUGGGGCUGCCCUGGCGUCUCCGAGGGGCGGCUUGCCAGACCCCUGCACGCCCGCCCGCCCGCCCGCCCGCGGCUUCCCGAAGCUCUGCUGGGGCUCGGCGGCGCGCCAGCCCGGUCCUGUCCACGUCUCUCGGGGCUUCGUUGGGCCCUCUGUUGGGCACCAUGAGCGGUGUGUAAGGAGACACAGACGCCCCGGCCGGCUCUCGUUCCAGGCUCGUGGUCUCCCGUGAAGUUCUGCAGACAGUUUGGGAGUGGAGCGCCCGGAGCGCCUCUGCUCGGGGAGAAGGGGCGCCCGCAGCCACCUGCCGGGACCCGGGCGCAUCCCCUCUAGCUCCCCGCGCGGGGACCGGCCCCAGACAGGGCUCGCGGCCGCCCCAGAGACCCAGCGAGCGCGUCCCUCCGGCCCCGCAGGUCCCGCUGCCCUGUGGCCCCAGCUCACUCCGCACUUAGGAAGCUCCUAGCGAGGGCUGGGCCCGGAGAGCAACUGAGCGCCGCCUCGGCUCUCGUCACCCUGUUGGGCCGACCGGGGCGCUUCGCUGGGUCGGGAGCCCCCACCCCCACCCCCUCCCCCACCCCCUCCCCCUCUGGAGGGGGAACAGGCGUCUAGGACAAUGAAGGCACCGGAUGGAACCCAACCCGGAGGAGAAACGCCGUUAAAGUUUCCUAGAGUAAGGACCCCCCCCCCCCCCCGCCCCAGCCCCACACCAGGAUCGGGUCAGCUGUGCUAAGGAAUUCGGAGUUUUAUUCUGUUGGGCAGUGCAGAGCCCCUGAAAGGGUUCUUAAAGAGAUUUCCUUUUACAAGACGACUCUCCAAAUUGAAAUGCUAAUGAGAGAUUUGCAAAACUUUAAAUUUGCUGAUUAGUAAUUUAACCCAGAUGGCCUGUGAUAGAGUCAAGGCUAUUCUUGGAUCACAUUUGGAGGGAAUUUUAAGUGAUACGGCUAUUUUUGUAAGGCUAUUUGGCAGUCAACUAUUAAAAUUGUGUAUAUCAUCCAAAACAAUAAUAGUACUUCUUGCUUUAUAGCCACACUUUUUUUUUUCCAUAAGAAGUGUAUAUCAGGGUGUUGAACUGCAGCAUUGUCAGCUUUGUUACAACUCUUAAGAACUGAAAAUGUAAAAAAAAAAAAAAAAGAAAGAAAGAAAGAAAGAAAGAAAGUACUGAAAAUGUAGAGGCACCUGGGUGGCCCAGUGAUUGAGCCUCUGCCUUUGGCUCAGGUGGGGAUCCUGGGAUCAAGUCCCACAUCCGGCUCCCUGCAUGGAGCCUGCUUCUCCCUCUGCUUGUGUCUCUGCCUCUCUCUCUCUGUCUCUCAUGAAUAAACAAAUAAAAUCAUUUUUAAAAAACUGAAAACGUAAUUGCUCAUUAAUUGACAAACUGGUUAACCAGUUGAUGAACCAAAAUGUAAUUGCUCAUCAAUUGACAAACUGGUUAACCAGUUGAUGAACCUAUAUUCUAAAACUACAUCACAGUGAUAUGCAUAUAAUAUAGAAUAUCAUGCAGUAGUUUUAAAAAGAAGAAUUAUACAGAUAUGGAUGGGUCUCCUUUUGUUAUUUGGAUUAACUGAAAAAAAAUCAAGUUCAACAAAAUAUACAGUGAAUUCCCAUUUAUGUCAAAACGCCUGAUUUCAGUAUGUUAAAAUCAAUAUGUAAAUGCAUUGGAAGAAUUUUAAAUUUAAAACAAUAGUUAUUUCCCCUAGAGAAUCCCCCAGGUUGAGAGUGAUGAGGAUAAUGUAUUAUUCAAAAGUUUUACAAUGAGACUGUGUCCAUGUACUGUGUUGUGUAAUGGGAGGUUGGAAGAAAAGAAGGGGAAUUGGAUUACCAGAGGGAGAAGGUAGACAAGAACCCUCACGUGGCCAUUGCUAUCUUCCACAGGAGAGAGCAAGUUGACAUUCUGUGGUAGCUUCCUCACUCAGAUCAUAAAAACUGGGGAUGUCUGGGUGGCUCAGUGGUUGAGUGACUGCCCUUGGCUUGGUCCUGGGAUUGAAUUCCUCAUCCAGCUCUCCACAGGGAACGUCCUUCUCCUUCUGCCUAGGUCUCUGCCUUUAUCUCUCGUGAAUAAAUUAUUUUUUAAAAAUCAUAAAAACCCUCAGCACUCAGGUGCUGGAUACUUAGUAAAUGUUCAGUGAGUAAUUUACUACAAAUGAAUUGUGUGGAACACUGGUUCUAAAGCAGGGGAGUCAGGGGAGAUUUUCCCCCAGGAGACUUGUGGCUUUAGUCACAACUGGGUAGAGGGACUACAGGCAUCUAGUGGGCAGAAGCGAGGGAUGCACAGAUGCACUGGAAAGACACCCACACCCCUGCCAUGACAAAGGAUUUUCUGGCCAAAAAAGUCAAUAGUGCCAAACCUCUCAGAGAGACCCUGAUCUGUCUUCCUGAGUCAUGUAGGGGAGAGUCCCCAGCCUCCUGCUGGUCUUUCUCUCUACUGGCAAGCAAAAUCUGGAUACCUCUCCUGUACACUACUUGACCCUUCUUUCUGCCAAUUCUCCCCAAAGCUAUGAGAAUCAAGGUAGGGAGAAAUGUGACCAAAACCCCAGAAAACACACUUUA
RNAcentral lists this long non-coding RNA (3169 nucleotides) under Canis lupus familiaris (dog). RNAcentral's name for it is "lncRNA (ENSCAFG00030003963.1)". Lineage: Eukaryota; Metazoa; Chordata; Mammalia; Carnivora; Canidae. The record is from RNAcentral.